GUGAGUAGUUCAGAGUUUGAUCCUGGCUCAGGACGAACGCUGGCGGCGUGCCUAACACAUGCAAGUCGAGCGGAGCCAACUAGAAGAUCCCUUCGGGGUGAUUCUGGGGAAGCUUAGCGGCGGACGGGUGAGUAACGCGUGAGUAACCUGCCCAUUAGUGGGGAAUAACACAGAGAAAUUUGUGCUAAUACCGCAUACGGAAUAGUUACCGCAUGGUAACAGUUUGAAAGAUUUAUCGCUAAUGGAUGGACUCGCGUCUGAUUAGAUAGUUGGUAGGGUAACGGCCUACCAAGUCGACGAUCAGUAGCCGAACUGAGAGGUUGAUCGGCCACAUUGAGACUGAGACACGGCCCAG
This 355-nucleotide ribosomal RNA is filed under the name uncultured bacterium. RNAcentral describes it as "bacterial SSU rRNA". It matches the Rfam family "Bacterial small subunit ribosomal RNA", at positions 1 to 334 of the family's 1533-position model. The record is from RNAcentral.